Long non-coding RNA from Platichthys flesus (European flounder), 1018 nucleotides. RefSeq lists it as uncharacterized. The transcript has 2 exons. NCBI's taxonomy places the organism in Eukaryota, Metazoa, Chordata, Actinopteri, Pleuronectiformes, Pleuronectidae. The record is from RefSeq and is a predicted model, not a curated record.
CGGAUUGAAGGAGCUGGACCACGUACUUCAUAUCGUUCAGACCCAACACGUGCUCAUGAGACACACCUGACACACGGAGAGAGACAAGUCUAAAUGUUACAGAGCGGCGCUGUGGACCCCGGGGUCUUUGGCUGAGAUGUCUCGAAGCAGGUCGCCCACGGUGGUCAACAUGGGCGUCAGGGUGAAGCGAGACGGUUGACCUGCAGGGAGACGCACCGACAGGACCGGGCGGCCCAGGCUGUAAUGAAGAGACACAUCUGAAAGAGAGAGAGAGAGACACACAUACAGUACUUACACCUUUACCAUUGGUUUAAUAAUUGAAGUUUACAUAUUAGACAAAAUACAACAUAUUGAUUAACGGUUGGACACACAGCCCCAUAGCUGUUUUUAUGCUAAGCUAGGCUAACCAUGUCCUGUUUCCAGCUCUGCACUAAAUGCAUCAUAACAAAAACAAAUGCUUGAUUUUAUUUACAUCACUUUCAUGUGACUUUGGAAAAAAGAGAGAGUCACAGAGAGUUUACCUUUGGUCGGUGGUUCACUGCUGUAGCCGGAGAAGAAGCUGGUCGACCAGGCUGAACUGAACUGAGACACAAAAGGAAUCCUCACAGUCACACAUGUAUCGUGGAUACUGAUCCUGAUCCUGGUCUAUAAUUUACAACGAGCCUCAGGUACAUGCUGCACCUAUUGGCGGUGGUCUAGUGGCAGAAACUUGGACUAUGGGCAGAGAAGGUCUUUGGUUCGUCUCCGGUUCGACUCCACGGAGAGACAACAAAAGACGAACCUGGAUUGAUCUAUCCCAAAAUCCAAGAGUCUCCCUACCCUGUCUAGUGCCCCUGAGCAAGGCACCUUACUCCCCCAACAUCUGCUCCCCGAGCGCCGUUCAUGGUCGCUCACUGCUCUGUGUGUACUGCACCAGAUGGGUCAAAAGCAGAGAUUAAAUUUCCCUACCUGCAUGAGUGUGCCUUUGCAUGUCUGUGCCUGUGUUUGGGAUGAAUAAAUGGAUCUUAAUCUUAUUGCA